UCCGGUUUGUCACCGGCAGUCUCCUCAGAGUGCCCAGCUUGACCUGAUGGCAACAGAGAACAAGGGUUGCGCUCGUUGCGGGACUUAACCCAACAUCUCACGACACGAGCUGACGACAGCCAUGCAGCACCUCUGCAGAUGUCCUUGCGGAAGUCGGCUUUCGCCGAUGGUCAUCUACACUUCGAGCCCAGGUAAGGUUCUUCGCGUUGCGUCGAAUUGAACCACAUGCUCCACCGCUUGUGCGGGCCCCCGUCAAUUCCUUUGAGUUUCAUUCUUGCGAACGUACUCCCCAGGUGGGUUACUUAUCACUUUCGCUUAGCCACUCAGUCUUACGACCAAACAGCUAGUAACCAUCGUUUACGGCGUAGACUAC
Molecule: unclassified non-coding RNA, 373 nt
Filed under: uncultured Acidobacteriota bacterium
Lineage: Bacteria; Pseudomonadati; Acidobacteriota
Description: uncultured Acidobacteria bacterium contains 16S-23S intergenic spacer region
Source: RNAcentral